RNAcentral lists this ribosomal RNA (696 nucleotides) under Saprolegnia sp. UNCW315. RNAcentral's name for it is "eukaryotic LSU rRNA". It matches the Rfam family "Eukaryotic large subunit ribosomal RNA", at positions 47 to 645 of the family's 3401-position model. The record is from RNAcentral. Lineage: Eukaryota; Oomycota; Saprolegniomycetes; Saprolegniales; Saprolegniaceae.
UAAGCGGAGGAAAAGAAACUAACAAGGAUUCCCCCAGUAACGGCGAGUGAAGCGGGAAGAGCUCAAGCUUAAAAUCUCCAUACUUGUAUGGCGAAUUGUAGUCUAUUGAGGCUGUUGUCAGCAUCGCGAUUGGGGACAAGUCCCUUGGAAAAGGGCAGCAUAGAGGGUGAUACUCCCGUCUCUGCUCCAAUCUGCGGUGUGUACGAUACGCUUUCUUUGAGUCGAGUUGUUUGGGAAUACAGCUCAAAGUAGGUGGUAAAUUCCAUCUAAAGCUAAAUAUUGGUGCGAGACCGAUAGCGAACAAGUACCGUGAGGGAAAGAUGAAAAGAACUUUGAAAAGAGAGUUAAAGAGUACCUGAAACUGUUGAAAGGGAACCGUAUCGUUUCCAGUGUUGUAUCCUAUGCAUAUUUCAUUCGUGGAGCAAUUUGCGGGUGCCCUGUGCAUGGGUGUGACGUCAGGGUCAGUUUGUAUGCUGCGGGAGAUGGUCAGUGAGGAGGUGCGUCACUUCGGUGAAAGUUAUAUCUCGCUGUCUAGUAGCCGUGGUUGAGACUGAGGUGCCUACAACAUGCCUUAAGGUUCCGUGUUGUCUCGUGUUGGUGACUGCUUUGAUAGCUUGCUAUGUUUGUGGUUUAUUAGUGCGAUUGAUGAUGCGGAUAACUUUUGCUGUUCGGGACUCUGGCGAAAUGGAGCGAUAC